This is an RNA transcript of Carya illinoinensis, 2012 nucleotides long. It is a transcript of the gene named protein TIFY 4B, with no coding region annotated. The record is from RefSeq and is a predicted model, not a curated record. NCBI's taxonomy places the organism in Eukaryota, Viridiplantae, Streptophyta, Magnoliopsida, Fagales, Juglandaceae. The transcript is spliced from 10 exons.
CACCCACCCACCCACCCGCACGCACUCUCUCUCUCUCUCUCUCUCGCACGCUCGUCCCAACUCGCCUCCCCUCCUCUCCUCCCCCAACACAUUUAACCCAUACCCACCACAAAAUUACGACAACUGCACAGAUCACCCGCGGGUCCCGGCGGAUUCCUCGCCAUGAACGCCGCUGCGACAACGACGACGACGACGACGUGCCGGUCCAUACUCGACAAACCCCUCAACCAGCUCACCGAGGAGGACAUUUCCCAGCUCACCCGCGAAGACUGCCGCAAAUUCCUCAAAGAUAAAGGAAUGCGCAGACCCUCGUGGAACAAAUCGCAGGCGAUCCAGCAGGUGAUUUCCCUCAAGGCUCUGCUCGAGCCGAGCGUCGACGAUUCCGCCUCCGGAGUUCUCAGGAAGGCCGUCGUUUCUCUUCCGCGCGCGACUUCAAAUUCGGUUGAUUCGGUUAAGGAACCGAGUCCUGAUGUCCAAGUUUCAUUAUCGGCAGAAGAAUCACAAGGGAGAAGGGAUCCGCCCAAAUCAGCUCCUUCUGGGGAUCGAUCGGCUGAUAUAGAUAACAAUGCUGUUAGUCCCAGGAGUCCGAGUGCUACAAAUCCUUCAGUGGGGCAAAUGACGAUUUUCUAUUGUGGCAAGGUGAAUGUAUAUGAUGGAGUGCCAACUGAUAAGGCACAAGCAAUCAUGCAUCUUGCUGCAAGUCCGAUCCAUUUACCUCAGGAUGAUGCACUUUGUGGAGCUGCAGCUGUUUGGUCUCCAUGCCAUUUACAGAUAUCAAGUGACAAAGAUCAUCUUAUUCCUCCUUGUAACAAUAUCUCGCAAAUCAUGCAAACAGAGAAGGUGACAGAAUAUGCUCAGCAGUAUAGGGACAAAGGGAGCAUUCCUCGUGACCCUGAUGUAGAGGGUCAGGCGAACAGAAAGGUCUCAUUGCAGAGAUAUCUGGAAAAGCGGAAAGACAGGGGAAGGUUAAAGAUAAAGAAAACUAUGGGAUCGACAACUUCUAGUUUGGAGAUGUACUUAAACCAUCAAGUGAGGACACAUGUACCAAAUGGGAAAUCAAGCCGGAGUAGCACGAGCUCUCCACCACAGCAUGGACUACCACAAACCGUUAGUUCUGUCGACAAUCAGCUAAAGAGUGCUGGUCUUGCUGUUGAUCUCAACGACAAAGAUGUCCAAGACUGCUGAAUUGGAACCACUCUUUAGGUCAGACGGUGUUUGGAGUUAAAUUGAGAGCCGUACUUAGAUAAUCACUAGGCUAAACAUAAACGGGGAAGACGAAACCAAUGUGACAGCCCCCUCCAUGGCCUGCCUUUUGCAUGAUUUGUGCUGGCUCUACGGACAGUAAGUCUUGUAAUGUCUAUUUCUGGAGAAGCUGCUGUGGAAAAUUUUCUGUUCUGAAUGGGGGGGCCAGUUCGAACUAACCUGAUCAAUUUUGUAAUGCCAACAAUCAUUUUUCCUUCUUUAGGAAUCUCUUUCUCGAGGAUGGUUAGGGUAACAGAUGGUAGUAGUGGCCGUGGUGCCCCCGGUUAAGGGCGAUAUCCUAAGAGGUAAUGAUGGUGCUGGUAGUAGUGAUAUGGUGGCAUCAUUCGCAAUGGGGAUGGGGCUGGAAGUUGGGUGCGUUUGACCCUUUUUUGUGUUUGGGGUGACUCAGACGUCUUGUCGUUUUCUACUCAUGUUUCCAAAAUUUUCACAAACUACUACUUAUCGUUUUGUUAGCUGUGGGUCCCCACGGCCACUUUGCAAGGCUAUUAUUGCAUUCCAAAACUGGUUUUCUGGGCGGUGGCAGUUAAAAUGUCUCAAGGCGAAAUGUGACAGAAAAAUCGAUUGUUUAUCGCAAUUGGAUUCGAAGUGGAAUGCCUCUGCCUUCCACCUCACUGUUUUAGAAAAGUGAGAUAAUCAAUUGCAAUACAAUUAAGAUCAUCAUUUGUUGAUGGCAAAGGCUUGUGUUCUCCUCUCCUGUUUAACUUCCCUUUCCGAAUAAAUACGUAGUAUGUUAAUUUUGGUUUUGAGUA